UGAGUGUUAGUUUUAAAUAGACUAUUGACAAAUUACAGAUUUUUUUCAUGUAUUGAAAUUAUAUUCCAGAUGAUUUUGAGAUUUACUGGUAUAAUAUUCUCCUCAUGAGGUAGGAUGGAAGGGAAGGAAUAGAGAAAAAAUGUUCUGCUCUGAAAUGAAUGUGGUGUUUCCUGACAGCAUUUGUCAAGAACGAAAGGUCAAAAAUAAAGCACUGAUGGAAACACAUGAUAAAUAAGGUGUUGAAUAAUUUGAAUGGGAAUUUGAAGGUUCAUGCCUUCCAAACCAGCAGGAAUUAAGGCUUAAUUGCUUGGAGAUACAUUUUCUGGCUGAUACCAGUAACAGAAAAAUGUCUGUAUGUCAAGAGGCUCUGUACUAAUCAGUUAACCAUAACAUGUGCCACCCCAUACCUAGGGCCAAUGUAACUGUUAACAGCUUGAAGCUAUUAAAAAUGUACCAAUGGA
This 461-nucleotide long non-coding RNA is filed under the name Pongo abelii (Sumatran orangutan). RNAcentral's name for it is "lincRNA". Lineage: Eukaryota; Metazoa; Chordata; Mammalia; Primates; Hominidae. The record is from RNAcentral.